UCCCCAUCUGCACGUACCCACCGCCCCCCACCCCCGCCACAGCUGGUCAGGUGGAGGGGUCUGGGGCUGUGGGCCCAUUUCCUCUCCGCACCUGUCCUUUUGGCCCGGACUCCACUGCUGACCUAAGUGUAGGCUGGACAGGCUGGCAAAACCCCAUUUAUUAAGCCUAUAGUUAACCAGGCAAAGGUGCAUCUUUACACUUCUCCCAAAUCGUCUACUGGAAUUGGCUUUGUGGAAAUCAUUCGGAUUCUGAAUUUCUGCACGAACUUCUACCUGCACGUUAAGAAAUCCUCACUGUGACUCUCUUCUAACUUGCCAUGGCCCAGCGGGUUAGCAACCUACACUUACUUCGCCCUGAGGGAUCCUGCCUGGGAGAGCCAACUUGGGAAGGACCCUUUCCAUAAAUGAGCCAGCUAGGUGUAUUCUCUGAGAACCCGGCUCGACUGGCAGCAGAGAGAUAGAUGUAACCUUAGUGCCAAGCUCCUUGCAGGAACACAGAGACACACAGGAACCAAAAUGCAUCUCAUAGCUCUCCGUGGUGCUGAAAUCACGCUAGCAAGGAAAUCGAAGGAGCAAGUGAGCUGGACUUACCCGGCUGAGGGUGGGCGGCAGGGGAGCGAGAGGAGCUUCCUGCGAAGAGAAUUCUUGUCUGUGCGAGCUGGAACCAGCUGAUGCGCUCACCUAGAGAACCCACCUCUCUCCCUUUUCUUCCCUUCCUCCUUUUCUGGGAGGAAGAGAGGAGGCUCCACGAAAGAAAUGAAACCCAGGCUGACAGGGCUAGA
Prionailurus viverrinus (fishing cat) is the source of this 782-nucleotide long non-coding RNA. RefSeq lists it as uncharacterized. The transcript has 3 exons. NCBI's taxonomy places the organism in Eukaryota, Metazoa, Chordata, Mammalia, Carnivora, Felidae. The record is from RefSeq and is a predicted model, not a curated record.